UGAGAAAUGAAAUUGACAAGAGUGCAAGUCUCCAGACUCAGAACAAAGUUGAAGAGCAAGCUAUGCAAGGAGAAGAUCAGAAUGACAAAAAGAUGCCU
Balaenoptera ricei (Rice's whale) is the source of this 98-nucleotide long non-coding RNA. RefSeq lists it as uncharacterized. The record is from RefSeq and is a predicted model, not a curated record. The transcript is spliced from 3 exons. NCBI's taxonomy places the organism in Eukaryota, Metazoa, Chordata, Mammalia, Artiodactyla, Balaenopteridae.